GUGGGGAAUCUUCCGCAAUGGACGAAAGUCUGACGGAGCAACGCCGCGUGAGUGAUGAAGGUCUUCGGAUUGUAAAGCUCUGUUAAUCGGGACGAAAGAGCCUAGUGUGAAUAAUGCUAGGAAGUGACGGUACCGGAAUAGAAAGCCACGGCUAACUACGUGCCAGCAGCCGCGGUAAUACGUAGGUGGCAAGCGUUGUCCGGAAUUAUUGGGCGUAAAGCGCGCGCAGGCGGAUCUGCCAGUCUGUCUUAAAAGUUCGGGGCUUAACCCCGUGAUGGGAUGGAAACUACAGAUCUAGAGUAUCGGAGAGGAAAGUGGAAUUCCUAGUGUAGCGGUGAAAUGCGUAGAUAUUAGGAAGAACACCAGUGGCGAAGGCGACUUACUGGGCCGUAACUGACGUUGAUGCGCGAAAGCGUGGGGAGCGAACAGGAUUAGAUACCCUAGUAGUCC
RNAcentral lists this ribosomal RNA (450 nucleotides) under uncultured bacterium. RNAcentral describes it as "partial 16S ribosomal RNA". It matches the Rfam family "Bacterial small subunit ribosomal RNA", at positions 354 to 796 of the family's 1533-position model. The record is from RNAcentral.